ACCUCGGUGCUUGCACCGGGUGAUCAGUGGCGAACGGGUGAGUAACACGUGAGCAACCUGCCCCCGACCCUGGGAUAACCCCGAGAAAUCGGAGCUAAUACCGGAUACGAGACGCACAGGCAUCUGUAGCGUCUGGAAAGAUUCAUCGGUCAGGGAUGGGCUCGCGGCCUAUCAGCUAGUUGGUGAGGUAGUGGCUCACCAAGGCGACGACGGGUAGCCGGCCUGAGAGGGCGACCGGCCACACUGGGACUGAGACACGGCCCAGACUCCUACGGGAGGCAGCAGUGGGGAAUAUUGCACAAUGGGCGCAAGCCUGAUGCAGCGACGCCGCGUGGGGGAUGAAGGCCUUCGGGUUGUAAACCCCUUUCAGCAGGGAAGAAGCGAAAGUGACGGUACCUGCAGAAGAAGCGCCGGCUAACUACGUGCCAGCAGCCGCGGUAAUACGUAGGGCGCAAGCGUUGUCCGGAUUUAUUGGGCGUAAAGAGCUCGUAGGCGGUUUGUCGCGUCUGCUGUGAAAACCCGAGGCUCAACCUCGGGCCUGCAGUGGGUACGGGCAGACUAGAGUGCGGUAGGGGAGACUGGAAUUCCUGGUGUAGCGGUGGAAUGCGCAGAUAUCAGGAGGAACACCGAUGGCGAAGGCAGGUCUCUGGGCCGCAACUGACGCUGAGGAGCGAAAGCAUGGGGAGCGAACAGGAUUAGAUACCCUGGUAGUCCAUGCCGUANACGUUGGGCACUAGGUGUGGGGCUCAUUCNACGAGUUCCGUGCCGCAGCAAACGCAUUAAGUGCCCCGCCUGGGGAG
Molecule: ribosomal RNA, 800 nt
Filed under: uncultured bacterium
Lineage: Bacteria
Description: bacterial SSU rRNA
Rfam family: Bacterial small subunit ribosomal RNA
Source: RNAcentral